Molecule: ribosomal RNA, 250 nt
Filed under: uncultured bacterium
Lineage: Bacteria
Description: partial 16S ribosomal RNA
Rfam family: Bacterial small subunit ribosomal RNA
Source: RNAcentral
UACGUAGGUGGCAAGCGUUGUCCGGAUUUACUGGGCGUAAAGAGCGCGCAGGCGGUCGGAUAAGUCGAAUGUGAAAGCCCCCGGCUCAACUGGGGAGGGUCGUUCGAUACUGUCCGACUAGAAGGCAGGAGAGGGAAGCGGAAUUCCCGGUGUAGUGGUGAAAUGCGUAGAUAUCGGGAGGAACACCAGUGGCGAAGGCGGCUUUCUGGCCUGCUCUUGACGCUGAGGCGCGAAAGCUAGGGGAGCAAAC